This is a non-coding RNA of Bos taurus (domestic cattle), 69 nucleotides long. The record is from Rfam. NCBI's taxonomy places the organism in Eukaryota, Metazoa, Chordata, Mammalia, Artiodactyla, Bovidae.
CCUGGUGGCUCAGACGGUAAAGCAUCUGCCUGCAAUGCGGGAGACCUGGGUUCAAUCCCUGGGUCAGGA